ACCCAUGCAAGUCGAGCGGUAGCACAGAGAGCUUGCUCUCGGGUGACGAGCGGCGGACGGGUGAGUAAUGUCUGGGAAACUGCCUGAUGGAGGGGGAUAACUACUGGAAACGGUAGCUUUACCCGCAUAAUGUCGCAAGACCAAAGUGGGGGACCUUCGGGCCUCAUGCCAUCAGAUGUGCCCCAGAUGGGAUUAGCUAGUUAGGUGGGGUAACGGCUCAAAUCCCUAGGCGACGAUCCCUAGCUGGUCUGAGAGGGAUGACCAGCCACACUGCCAGGACACGGUCCAGACUCCUACGGGAGGCAGCAGUGGGGAAUAUUGCACAAUGGGCGCAAGCCUGAUGCAGCCAUGCCGCGUGUGUGAAGAAGGCCUUCGGGUUGUAAAGCACUUUCAGCGGGGAGGAAGGCGGUGAGGUUAAUAACCUCAUCGAUUGACGUUACCCGCAGAAGAAGCACCGGCUAACUCCGUGCCAGCAGCCGCGGUAAUACGGAGGGUGCAAGCGUUAAUCGGAAUUACUGGGCGUAAAGCGCACGCAGGCGGUCUGUCAAGUCGGAUGUGAAAUCCCCGGGCUCAACCUGGGAACUGCAUUCGAAACUGGCAGGCUAGAGUCUUGUAGAGGGGGGUAGAAUUCCAGGUGUAGCGGUGAAAUGCGUAGAGAUCUGGAGGAAUACCGGUGGCGAAGGCGGCCCCCUGGACAAAUAGUGACGCUCAGGUGCGAAAGCGUGGGGAGCAAACAGGAUUAGAUACCCUGGUAGUCCACGCCGUAAACGAUGUCGAUUUGGAGGUUGUGCCCUUGAGGCGUGGCUUCCGGAGCUAACGCGUUAAAUCGACCGCCUGGGGAGUACGGCCGCAAGGUUAAAACUCAAAUGAAUUGACGGGGGCCCGCACAAGCGGUGGAGCAUGUGGUUUAAUUCGAUGCAACGCGAAGAACCUUACCUGGUCUUGACAUCCACAGAACUUUCCAGAGAUGGAUUGGUGCCUUCGGGAACUGUGAGACAGGUGCUGCAUGGCUGUCGUCAGCUCGUGUUGUGAAAUGUUGGGUUAAGUCCCGCAACGAGCGCAACCCUUAUCCUUUGUUGCCAGCGGUUCGGCCGGGAACUCAAAGGAGACUGCCAGUGAUAAACUGGAGGAAGGUGGGGAUGACGUCAAGUCAUCAUGGCCCUUACGACCAGGGCUACACACGUGCUACAAUGGCAUAUACAAAGAGAAGCGACCUCGCGAGAGCAAGCGGACCUCAUAAAGUAUGUCGUAGUCCGGAUUGGAGUCUGCAACUCGACUCCAUGAAGUCGGAAUCGCUAGUAAUCGUAGAUCAGAAUGCUACGGUGAAUACGUUCCCGGGCCUUGUACACACCGCCCGUCACACCAUGGGAGUGGGUUGCAAAAGAAGUAGGUAGCUUAACCUUCGGGAGGGCGCUACC
RNAcentral lists this ribosomal RNA (1418 nucleotides) under Klebsiella sp. Its description in RNAcentral is "bacterial SSU rRNA". It matches the Rfam family "Bacterial small subunit ribosomal RNA". Lineage: Bacteria; Pseudomonadati; Pseudomonadota; Gammaproteobacteria; Enterobacterales; Enterobacteriaceae. The record is from RNAcentral.